Molecule: ribosomal RNA, 373 nt
Filed under: Paktongius sp. n. 1 LP-2022a
Lineage: Eukaryota; Metazoa; Arthropoda; Arachnida; Opiliones; Assamiidae
Description: partial large subunit ribosomal RNA
Rfam family: Bacterial large subunit ribosomal RNA
Source: RNAcentral
GUUAUUUGAAGAAAAAAUAAUAUCACCUGCUCAAUGAUAAAUGGCUAUAGUAAUUUAACUGUACAAAGGUAGCAUAAUCAUUUGUUUUUUAAUUAAGGACUAGAAUGAAAGGUAUGACCAGGGGGAUGGUUUUACUUGUUGAAUUUUAAUUAAGACUAAAAAUGUUUUUAUAAAACUCUGGGACGAGAAGACCCUAGAAGCUUAAGGAUUCUUUUGGUUGGGGAGACCAGGGAAUUAUUAACUUUCUUUAAGUUACUCUAGGGAUAACAGCGUAAUUGGGUUAAAGAGUUCUUAUUGAAUGCCUAGUUUGCGACCUCGAUGUUGAAUUAAGAGAUGAAGGAGUCUUAGUCUGUUCGACUAUUGAAGGCUUACA